AUGUCAGUUCAGGACCCAUCCCCCAUGCCCCUCCCCGCCGCGGCGCGACCCAAGCGCACGUCCUCCGCGCCGAUCCGGCCCUCCGACUACGCGCACAGCCCGGCGCACCACUGCGUCGCGCUGCGGGACGCCGCCGGCCUCUCCGCCAUCCUCGCCGGCCUCCCGCCCCUCGCCCACCCCUCCCGCAUCCUCUCCGCCGCCGACGCCGCGCGCGAGGCCCGCCUCUCGGCCUCCGUCUCCGCCGCGCUCGACCGCCGCGACGUGCCAGGUGGGGACACCGCGCUCCACCUCGCCGUGCGCCUCAGGCUCCCCUCCCUCGCCUCCGCGCUCGCCGCCGCCGGCGCCGACCCCACGCUCCAGAACCACGCCGGGUGGACGCCGCUCCAGGAGGCGCUCUGCCUGGGGUGCAAGGACAUCGCGGCCCUCCUCCUCCGCGCCCACCGGCUGGCGGCCUGGGCCAAGCUCCGCCGCCGGGCGCCCGCGCUCUCCGCCGCGCUGCGCCGGGUCCAGGACUUCUACCUCGAGGUGGAUUUCCACUUCGAGAGCUCCGUCGUGCCGCUCCUCUCGCGAGCCGCGCCGUCGGACACUUACCGGAUAUGGAAGUGCGGCGCCAACCUGCGUGCGGACACCACCCUCGCCGGCUUCGACGGCCUCCGCAUUCGGCGGGCUGACCACUCUUUCCUCUUUUUCGGGGAGGAGACUGAGGCCGGCGGCCGCCGCCUCCCCCCGGGAUCGCUCCUUGUGCUCCACCGCGGCAAGCGCGAGGUGCAUGACGCGUUCGCCGCCGCCGCCGCCGCCGGGGACGAGGAUGCGGCCACCUCCGACGCGGCCGCCUACCGGCCGGGGCUCAACAUCACCUCCGCGAGGCUCGUUCCGAGGACCACGUGGCUGCGCAAGGAGAAGACGGAGAGCGUUGGGGAGUGGAAGGCGCGGGUGUUCGACGUCCACAACGUCGUCUUCUCCUUCCGCACGCUCAAGGCAGCCAGCACCGGUCGCAAGGAUUUGACCUUCGAGCUUGCCGGAGAAGACGACGAGGAGUUCUUGCCGCUGGAGAUCCGGGAUGACGACGAGGACGGCGAUUUCUUAGUCGCCGACAUCCCCCCGCCCCCGCCACGGCGCAGCUGCUACGUGCCUGGCCGGCGCAGCGUGGCAGGACCACCCUCGCAUAUGGGGACGCCGCAGAGGAGGAGGAACAGCGUGGACGUGCCGCGACGGCUGCCAACCUGUGCAUCGGUGGGCCGCGGCGAGGAUGGCGUGUUCAGCCGGAACGCGACGACCGGGGGAGCCAAGUGGAAGGAGGAGGAGACGGUGAAGACACUGCGGCCCACCGUGUGGCUCACAGAGGACUUCCCGCUGAGCGUCGACGAGUUCUUGCCCCUGCUGGACAUCUUGGCUACCCGUGUGCGCGCCGUCCGCCGCCUCCGUGAGCUGCUCACCACCAAGUUCCCGACUGGGACAUUCCCUGUGAAGGUUGCGAUCCCUGUUGUUCCGACUGUGAGGGUAGUCAUCACCUUCAACAAGUUUGUUCCCCUGGUAGAGCCAGAGGAGUUCUUCACGCCGAUGUCGAGCCCCAGCCUGCUGGCGAGCCCAGGUCCGGGGUCCAUCAUGCCUAAGCCAGACACCCACAAGAGCUCGUAUCUGAGGUGGACAUCCAAGAACUCGAGAGCAAAGCCAGUGAACCUGUCGCAGGUCGCGGACAACACCGACCCCUUCACCAUCCCCAGCGACUACACCUGGGUAAACCUGGGUUCCACCAAGACCCAGGACAAGAAGUCAUCCAAGACCAGUAAAAAGGGCAAGAGCAAAGAGACCUGA
RNAcentral lists this ribosomal RNA (1815 nucleotides) under Triticum aestivum (bread wheat). RNAcentral describes it as "partial small subunit ribosomal RNA". The record is from RNAcentral. Lineage: Eukaryota; Viridiplantae; Streptophyta; Magnoliopsida; Poales; Poaceae.